Molecule: non-coding RNA, 198 nt
Organism: Vicia faba (fava bean)
Lineage: Eukaryota; Viridiplantae; Streptophyta; Magnoliopsida; Fabales; Fabaceae
Source: the annotation of a GenBank genome assembly
AUGUUAGUUUUUGUUUUGAUUCAGGUGGGAUUUGAGAUGGUUGAUGCUAUAGCGGAAGCUGAAGGGAUAUCCAUGGGUUUUAUAGGCGAUGUACCAUUGUUACUUGCAAAACCACAAACUUUUAUGAAUGCAAGUGGUGAAUCUGUAAGUCUUAUGUCUAGAGAAAUGGAAAUUGAUAUAACCAAUGAAAGGAGAUGA